This 329-nucleotide long non-coding RNA is filed under the name Physcomitrium patens. RNAcentral's name for it is "long non-coding RNA (PPAT_LNC003277)". The record is from RNAcentral. Lineage: Eukaryota; Viridiplantae; Streptophyta; Bryopsida; Funariales; Funariaceae.
GAGUGAGGUUUGAUAGAAAACUAGAUACAAUUUCUAUAAGCAUUGGUUUUGAGUGAUUUGGAUUUGUAAUGACUUUGUAAGAGCUUUACAAAGUCAAGUUUGUUUUCAAAUGACUUGGAUUUUGUGAGAUAAAAUAGGGUUUAUGUUUCUAGUAAUUUCAAGAGUUUUGUAAUAGAUCUAUAAGUGAAAUUUUGUAGAUUAAUGGUCAUAGUUGUGCUUAAUAUGUAUUAUAAAUCUUAGCUCGAUCUAAUAGUUGAAUUGAGGAUUAUUGAGGUUUAAGUGGGUUAAGGUCUCAAAAAGUAGAAUUUUAGGUUCAAUGAGGGUUUUUA